RNAcentral lists this ribosomal RNA (196 nucleotides) under uncultured bacterium. RNAcentral's name for it is "partial 16S ribosomal RNA". It matches the Rfam family "Bacterial small subunit ribosomal RNA", at positions 338 to 527 of the family's 1533-position model. The record is from RNAcentral.
CCUACGGGAGGCAGCAGUAAGAAUAUUCCGCAAUGGACGAAAGUCUGACGGAGCGACGCCGCGUGGAUGAUGAAGGCCGAAAGGUUGUAAAGUCCUUUUGCUGGGGAAGAAUAAGUGUGGGAGGGAAUGCCCGCAUGAUGACAUGAACCGGCGAAUAAGCCCCGGCCAACUACGUGCCAGCAGCCGCGGUAAAUUA